This 397-nucleotide ribosomal RNA is filed under the name uncultured bacterium. RNAcentral describes it as "bacterial SSU rRNA". It matches the Rfam family "Bacterial small subunit ribosomal RNA", at positions 28 to 418 of the family's 1533-position model. The record is from RNAcentral.
GACGAACGCUGGCGGCGCGCUUAACACAUGCAAGUCGAGCGAGAACCAGAGCUUCGGCUCUGGGGACAGCGGCGAACGGGUGAGUAACACGUGGGUAAUCUGCCCUCGGUACUGGGAUAGCCCGGGGAACCCGGAUUAAUACCGGAUGGCCCUUUGUAGUCCUCGGACUUGAAGGAACAGGUAGCUUCGGCCUCCGACCGAGGAUGAGCCCGCGGCGGAUUAGCUUGUUGGUGGGGAACGGUCCGACCAAGGCUCCGAUCCGUAGCUGGUCUGAGAGGACGAUCAGCCACACUGGGACUGAGACACGGCCCAGACUCCUACGGGAGGCAGCAGUGGGGAAUCUUGUCCAAUGGGCGAAAGCCUGAGACAGCGACGCCGCGUGCGGGAAGAAGGCCUU